Molecule: non-coding RNA, 85 nt
Organism: Terfezia boudieri ATCC MYA-4762
Lineage: Eukaryota; Fungi; Ascomycota; Pezizomycetes; Pezizales; Pezizaceae
Source: the annotation of a GenBank genome assembly
GGUUGAAUGGUGUAACGGUAGCACAUAAGAUUUUGAUCACUGAUAAAAGAUUCUUGUGACCUGGGUUCGACUCCCAGUUCGACCU